GGCUCUGUAGUGUAGAGGUUAUCACUCAAGAUUCUGAUCCCAAGAUUCUUGUAACCCAGGUUCGAGUCCUGGCAGGGCCU
RNAcentral lists this transfer RNA (80 nucleotides) under Punctularia strigosozonata HHB-11173 SS5. It matches the Rfam family "tRNA". From Rfam's summary of the family: Transfer RNA (tRNA) molecules are approximately 80 nucleotides in length. Their secondary structure includes four short double-helical elements and three loops (D, anti-codon, and T loops). Further hydrogen bonds mediate the characteristic L-shaped molecular structure. tRNAs have two regions of fundamental functional importance: the anti-codon, which is responsible for specific mRNA codon recognition, and the 3' end, to which the tRNAs corresponding amino acid is attached (by aminoacyl-tRNA synthetases). tRNAs cope with the degeneracy of the genetic code in two manners: having more than one tRNA (with a specific anti-codon) for a particular amino acid; and 'wobble' base-pairing, i.e. permitting non-standard base-pairing at the 3rd anti-codon position. The record is from Rfam by way of RNAcentral. Lineage: Eukaryota; Fungi; Basidiomycota; Agaricomycetes; Corticiales; Punctulariaceae.